Molecule: ribosomal RNA, 253 nt
Filed under: uncultured bacterium
Lineage: Bacteria
Description: partial 16S ribosomal RNA
Rfam family: Bacterial small subunit ribosomal RNA
Source: RNAcentral
UACGGAGGGUGCAAGCGUUGUCCGGAAUCACUGGGCGUAAAGGGCGCGUAGGCGGCUCAUGAAGGCUGUGGUGAAAGUCCGGGGCUCAACCUCGGAUCGGCCGUGGCGACUCGUGGGCUGGAGCACUGUAGAGGCGGGUGGAAUUCCGGGUGUAGCGGUGGAAUGCGUAGAGAUCCGGAAGAACACCAGUGGCGAAGGCGGCCCGCUGGGCAGUGGCUGACGCUGAGGAGCGAAAGCCAGGGGAGCAAACGGG